Tympanuchus pallidicinctus (lesser prairie-chicken) is the source of this 2396-nucleotide long non-coding RNA. RefSeq lists it as uncharacterized. The record is from RefSeq and is a predicted model, not a curated record. The transcript is spliced from 3 exons. Lineage: Eukaryota; Metazoa; Chordata; Aves; Galliformes; Phasianidae.
GCUGCAGUGCCCUCAGGAAGGCUGAUUUCAUCCAGCAGCGCCUGUUCUCAGAGCCUCCUCACGCAGAAAUGCUUUUAUCUUGGUUGGCUUAACAACAAAACAGCAUAUCCAAAAACGUGGGGGGAUGCUAAAGAAGAACACUGCCCCUGCAUGGCACAACUCACAGCAACAUAGUUAAGCUUGCUAGCGUUCGUUGGUGGAUAUUCCUGCCCUGCAAUUCUUAUCUGGAUAACAGAAAGAGCCGUGUCUGAAUCAAGGAGAUAAGGAAGUUCUGCUGAGUCUCUGCACCAAGGAAACAGGAGGUCCUGCUUGGAAUCGAUCACUGAAUACGUAACACACUUCUGGGAAACUUCUGCAUAUGUAACACAAGUAAUGCAUAUAAACUGAAGAUCUUUUGUGUAAGCUGUGCAUAAUAGCAGGAUUACUCUUAUGCAUCCACUGUUGACAUCUGCUUUAUAACACUCCAACACGAGCCUUAGAGAGUUUCACACCCAACUGUCUUAGGGCACCAUGUGCUUUGAGUUCUCUGAUGCUUUUGUCUGAGACUUUGUAGCAGAAAUGCCAAGUCAUGGCCUGAAGCAGUGAUGGAGCACCUGGUGGGAAGGCAGGGCCAGCCCAGGGGAGCUCAGGUGCGAGCAAUGCACUGAGUAACCAGAAGGGCUGGAGCCAGGAACCUCCCCUUCCCACCCCUCAUUUAAGGGCUGGCAGUGGAGAUGAGAGUAGCUCUCUGGAGAUCCCUGCCUACCUGAGGUUUUCUGAAGCUGCUUCAGAACAUGUUAAGAAGAAAAGGCUCUGGAUCUCCCUUGCCCCGCAAGGUCCAUCAGAUUGGUGCUGCAAGGUAACAAAGGCCCUCUGGUGGAGAUCUUCCACCUCAAUGCAGAGACUGGGAUCAAAGCAGCUGUGGGACAUGCACAAAGGGAAUGUUUGGUGCAGGGUGGAGGGCCCACCAUCUCAGCAUAUAACUUUGAACACUUAAACUGUAAGAUAUUGUUCCACCUCCGUUGCAGCCCUGUGCCUGUUAGGCUGCCAGGCAGCCUUUUCUUUCCCAGAACACAGCAGAUGUCAGGCAGACCACAGCCACGAGACACCUGGGAGUGAAUGAGCUGAAAGCAAUGCUUCAGCAGCAGAGAAGAGCUUCUGUCAGCAUUCUGUGCCAGAAGUAAAAGCGGUGCUCCCCCGGCCUCUGUACUGCUGAGAAAAUGGACUGUGGUUUUUAUGGCCUCUGUGUUAAUUGUGUUCCCUUUGACGUGAGGAGACGCACACAGUGCAGCAUGCAUGGAUUUGAUGCUGCCUGUGGAAGCUGUGCUGCUGCUCAUGGGACUGAUACAGGGAACAACAGGAAAACAGCAACGGGGAACAACAGGAAAGCAGUGUGAACGUCACGUCCCAAGGAGAAGUUGUGUGCCACAUGUUUUCCGAAGAUAAAACGGCAAAAAGAAGACCUUAGAUCUGAGCAGCUACAGAAGACUGCCUGCCUCCUUCCACAACCACUUGAGCUGGAAGAGUUCUGCACCAAUGACACAUCUUAAAUGCAAGUAUUUGCCUAAUUCUGAAUUGAAGGGGCAGGGGAGCCUGCAGCCUCCUCUUGUGAUUUUGGUAAGGCUGGCACUGGAAGCGAUUGUUUGAGAAUGCAGAACCCGCAGAGCACAGUACUGGUGCUGUGGGCACACCCUGUCAGAACACCUUUAGCUGGAGGAGAGCAUCCACUAGUUGUGCUCCAUCCUGAGGAGAGCAGUAACCGUGCUUUGCAUCACUGCAUGACAUCGCACGCGCAAAGCGUGGUCAGCUGGGAGGUGAGUUCCAAAAACAUGCUCAGAAAAUGAGACAUGGCACUGACAGAGACACAUUCCCUCCUUAACAGUAGCUCCAGUCAGGGCAGGUGCCUGAGGAACUGAACUUCAGGUGGACUGAAGUUGUGUAGGACCUGUUGAGGGAGCACAGCAAGACCUCGGCACAGCCUUCUGUCUUGGGAAGGGCUGCGGCUCUGAAGGAGAAGUUCCCUCUCUGCUGCCUGUCCCAGUCACACUGGUAGGUACUCAGCACAGCCUGACCCAGCCCCGUGUGGAUGCAGCCACCAGAGCCCAGCUCGGGGCAUGCCUGGGAGAGCUGCUCCACCAUCACGGCCUCGCCCCCUUCUGCCCCAGCCCACGCUACAGUGCAGCCUUGCAGGCAUUCAUAAGAUUGUUCUCUUUGUAUCUUCCUCACAGAGCGCCCAGGGACAGCAGAGCAGCCACGUUGCUAGCUGCUCCAGAGAUCUGCUGGGCACGUGGAUGUGGCUGCACCAUUCAGCCAGGGAAACCUUUGGGGAAGUUCUCAGCCUGCACUUCCCACGGUGACCCGAGGUUGUUCUGUUCCUAAGUACGAAUGAGCGACGCGUUAUGGUCAUCCUGUACUCA